Molecule: ribosomal RNA, 254 nt
Filed under: uncultured bacterium
Lineage: Bacteria
Description: partial 16S ribosomal RNA
Rfam family: Bacterial small subunit ribosomal RNA
Source: RNAcentral
UACGGAGGAGGCAAGCGUUAUCCGGAAUUAUUGGGCGUAAAGCGUCCGUAGAUGGUCGCUUCACGUCUGCUGUCAAAGACCGGGGCUUAACCCCAGAAAAGCAGUGGAAACUGAACAGCUAGAGUAUGGUAGGGGCAGAGGGAAUUCCUGGUGUAGCGGUGAAAUGCGUAGAGAUCAGGAAGAACAUCGGUGGCGAAGGCGCUCUGCUGGACCAUAACUGACACUCAGGGACGAAAGCUAGGGGAGCGAAUGGG